This 274-nucleotide ribosomal RNA is filed under the name uncultured bacterium. Its description in RNAcentral is "partial 16S ribosomal RNA". It matches the Rfam family "Bacterial small subunit ribosomal RNA", at positions 523 to 796 of the family's 1533-position model. The record is from RNAcentral.
AUACGGAGGGUGCAAGCGUUACUCGGAAUCACCGGGCGUAAAGCGCGCGCAGGCGGUCUUUUAAGUUGGAUGUGAAAGCCUACGGCUCAACCGUAGAACUGCAUCCAAAACUAUUAGACUAGAGUGUGGGAGAGGAAGAUGGAAUUAGUUGUGUAGGGGUAAAAUCCGUAGAGAUAACUAGGAAUACCAAAAGCGAAGGCAAUCUUCUGGAACACUACUGACGCUGAGGCGCGAAAGCGUGGGGAGCAAACAGGAUUAGAAACCCUAGUAGUCC